RNAcentral lists this small RNA (793 nucleotides) under Pan troglodytes (chimpanzee). Its description in RNAcentral is "retained intron". The record is from RNAcentral. Lineage: Eukaryota; Metazoa; Chordata; Mammalia; Primates; Hominidae.
ACAGCUCAAAGAGAAGCACAAGCAGAGCGGCGGGAGCGUGGGUGCGCUGGAGGAGCUGGAGAACGCCUUCAGCCUGGCCGAGGAGUCCUGCCCCGGCAUCUCAGACAAGCUGAUGGUGCACCUGGUGGAGCGAGUGCAGAGGUUUUCACACAACAGAAACCACCUGACAUCCACCCGCUGAAGCGCGCUGCUGUUCAGAUAGGGGACGGAAGGUCGUUUGUUUUUGUUCUGAGCUCCGUAAGAACUGUGCUGACUUGGAAGGUGCCCUGUGCUGUGUCGUGCCUGCAGGGACACGUCGGAUCCCGUGGGCCUCACAUGCCAGGUCACCAGGUCACCGUCUCCUUCCACCCCUGCAGUGUGCUGUUCUGCACGUCAGGGACGCUGUUCUCUAUGCCCACUGCCCUCCUCCCUCUCCUGGCCCAGCAGUAUUGCUCACGGGGGCUCCAGCAGCCGGCGUGGCCCUCAUGAGCUACGCCUGGGUCUUCUGCAGACUCAUGCAGCCCUAUGGCCGCUCAGACCAAGGCGCAGAGCAACUAUCAGGGCAGCUCUGCCUCCUCCUCCCAUGAGGUGGGGAGAGGCAACAGGGCAGCCCCCAGAGGAGUGUCCUGGCCGCUGUCCUCCCGGGGCCCAUGAUGGCCAUAGAUUUGCCUUGUGGUGUUGGAUCAGGUACUGUGUCUGCUCAUAAGUACUUGUGUCAUCCAGAAUGUUUUGUUUUUUAAGAAAAUUGAAUUGUUUCCUGAAAUAUUCUGAGGUUAAUAUGUUAGUUUUCAUAGAACAUUGAGAGGCCCCUGCC